GGAGGAUCCGAGCGUUAUCCGGAUUUAUUGGGUUUAAAGGGUGCGUAGGCGGCCUAUUAAGUCAGGGGUGAAAUACGGUGGCUCAACCAUCGCAGUGCCUUUGAUACUGAUGGGCUUGAAUCCAUUCGAAGUGGGCGGAAUAAGACAAGUAGCGGUGAAAUGCAUAGAUAUGUCUUAGAACUCCGAUUGCGAAGGCAGCUCACUAAGCUGGUAUUGACGCUGAUGCACGAAAGCGUGGGGAUCGAACAGGAUUAGAUACCCUGGUAGUCCACGCCCUAAACGAUGAUAACUCGAUGUUGGCGAUAGACAGCCAGCGUCCAAGCGAAAGCGUUAAGUUAUCCACCUGGGGAGUACGCCCGCAAGGGUGAAACUCAAAGGAAUUGACGGGGGCCCGCACAAGCGGUGGAUUAUGUGGUUUAAUUCGAUGAUACGCGAGGAACCUUACCAAGGCUUAAAUGGGAAUUGAUCGGUUUAGAAGUAGACUUUCCUUCGGGCAAUUUUCAAGGUGC
Molecule: ribosomal RNA, 509 nt
Filed under: bacterium symbiont of Megymenum gracilicorne
Lineage: Bacteria
Description: bacterial SSU rRNA
Rfam family: Bacterial small subunit ribosomal RNA
Source: RNAcentral